Molecule: ribosomal RNA, 263 nt
Filed under: uncultured bacterium
Lineage: Bacteria
Description: partial 16S ribosomal RNA
Rfam family: Bacterial small subunit ribosomal RNA
Source: RNAcentral
GUCCACGCCCUAAACGAUGUCUACUAGUUGUUGGGGUAGCAAUACCUUAGUAACGCAGCUAACGCGUGAAGUAGACCGCCUGGGGAGUACGGUCGCAAGAUUAAAACUCAAAGGAAUUGACGGGGCCCGCACAAGCGGUGGAUGAUGUGGAUUAAUUCGAUGCAACGCGAAAAACCUUACCUACCCUUGACAUGUCAAGAAUAUCGCAGAGACGUGAUAGUGCCCGAAAGGGAACUUGAACACAGGUGCUGCAUGGCUGUCGU